This is a non-coding RNA of Vicia faba (fava bean), 200 nucleotides long. NCBI's taxonomy places the organism in Eukaryota, Viridiplantae, Streptophyta, Magnoliopsida, Fabales, Fabaceae. The record is from the annotation of a GenBank genome assembly.
GGGCAAGAAAAGGACUUCUUAUCCGAGGAGGGGAUUGUGCUAGAACGCAUUGGCCUGGUGUAAACUAUAUUGCUCUAGAUAAGACAGGAACCCUUACCAGAGGAAAACCAGUUGUUUCUGCCAUAGGCUCUAUUGAGUAUGGAGAGUCGGAAAUUCUUCAGAUUGCGGCCGCAGUGGAGAAAACUGCAUCUCAUCCAUAG